Molecule: non-coding RNA, 26 nt
Filed under: Rattus norvegicus (Norway rat)
Lineage: Eukaryota; Metazoa; Chordata; Mammalia; Rodentia; Muridae
Source: RNAcentral
UGCUGGCUCUGCAGCCACUAAUGGGA